This 435-nucleotide unclassified non-coding RNA is filed under the name Hevea brasiliensis (rubber tree). Lineage: Eukaryota; Viridiplantae; Streptophyta; Magnoliopsida; Malpighiales; Euphorbiaceae. The record is from RNAcentral.
GCUAAUUUAGAGAUAAUUUUGACCUAUAAAGUUUUCAUGAACAACAAUUUUGAAAAUCCAGGGUUUAUUAAAACAACUUGCCUUGAUAAAAUGGGCAAAUAUUUAGUAUCAAGUACCAAUCAUAUCCAGUUUGGAUAGUUGAGGCUAUCCUCCAGUUCAUGCCAUAUAGAUAUUAUAUUUAAGAGGACUUUCUUUUUUUUUUUUUUUUCGAAGAAGGGGGGGCAGAAGUGUUUUUAACAACUGAAGUAAGAGUUUCCAAAGGGGAUCCACAACAACCUAAAAGAUCCUUGUUCAAAGUGCAUAAAUGAGGCCAAACUAUUUAUCAACCAUCUUAAUAAGACAACUAAUAUCAUUUACAGAAUUGAGAUCUAAUAAAAUGUAGUCCUACUUAUUAGUUGGCCAAUAAGUAUGUCAGAAACACACAGGUAUGGUAGA